Molecule: microRNA precursor, 84 nt
Filed under: Bombyx mori (domestic silkworm)
Lineage: Eukaryota; Metazoa; Arthropoda; Insecta; Lepidoptera; Bombycidae
Description: mir-2807 microRNA precursor family
Rfam family: mir-2807 microRNA precursor family
Source: Rfam by way of RNAcentral
UUAACUCAAAUUUGUAUGGAGUUGGAUCAGCGCCCCUAGCGGCAAACGAAAGGUAGCUGUCCAACUCCAUACAAAUUUAAGUUA